Molecule: long non-coding RNA, 2714 nt
Organism: Oreochromis aureus
Lineage: Eukaryota; Metazoa; Chordata; Actinopteri; Cichliformes; Cichlidae
Source: Ensembl
CAAAAGUCUGACCUGCAUAGGCGCAUCUGCUCAGUGUCCUCCUCAGUCAUGCCGAUUACAUAAUUGUUGCUGAGGAGGACUAAUGAGGGAACAUAGCUGUCUGUUAGUUUUUAGUGUGGACACAAAACGGCCAACAAAAAGCCAAGUUUAAAACCAGCCCACCGAGACUUUAAAGCGACAUCCAGAGUGAUUCCGUAGAAACAUGCACUGAACAGGCGGAAAUGGAGGCUAUGCUACAAACCUGACUGCUCAUCACUGCCUUCGUUGCCUGUUGAAGUUCAUGGUCUGACUGCUGGGCUGAGGGAGAGAAAGAAAAAGAGCUAACUUCAAUCAGAGUUGGAGAAAGAUAAGAAAGACUGGAGAGGAAGAGAAGGGUUGUAUUUAAUGCAUCUGUCCAUCCGUCCGUGGCAGGGGGAGUUGGAGCCUAUUAACCACCAAUUUAGGGCGUAUCCAUGAUAACCUCUGCACACAGGUCUUGCCCAUUGAAAUCGAUCGUCAUCUCCCAGGUGCUUUUCUGAAAAAUGACAGAUUAAAGUGAUCAGAUGGCGCUGUGCUCCACUUGCCCUAAUGACCCUUCACCUCCCCUCUUGUGUACGGUGAACAUGAAUCACAGUUUUUGACAGAGAUGGAUUUAUGACAAAGGAAGAAGAGACUUAUGAAGUGCUGAUUGGUGUAACCAGGACUCAACCUGGCAAUAAAGUCUGGCAUUUGGAGAGUACAGAGUGUGUGGAGGGUCAUGCUGUACUGUUCCACUUUGAGUGGUUGUGGAGCUGUCCUUUUGGCUCUUGCUCUGUGGUCUGUCAGAUGGAAGACUGAUGAAAGAAUGAUCAAGGGAGAUCAAACAGAUUUUUCCUGAAACCUCAAAAAUGGCUGAUGUACCAAACCUGUAACACUGCUGGACAUUUUUCUGUAGGAGUUUAGUGUGGAAGUGCUCUGUGGACAUUGCUUUCAUUUAAAACAUGAUAUAGGGGACAAAUAUUGCAAUAGGGUGUACUGUGGCAUGGGGAUACUGUUGGAGUACUGUGUUUAGCUGGUUGUAAGUCAUUGUAUAUUUUUAUAUUUUAAAUUUACAAUAAGAUGACCCAACAGUCUCAACAGCUGUUGGAUAGAUUGCUCUGAAUUAUUUUAAAGACAUGCAUGGUACCCAGGAGGAUGAAGUAUCCAGACUAUUUAGUACAGCCAGGUUCACAUUUUGGGUUUUACAUGAAGUGUCUCAACAGUCAUGAAAUGUCAUAACAUGCUGACAUACGAAACUAUUAAGGUUUUGAACACUGUAAUCAUUACCAAAUGCCAUUUAACAUAUUAGCCCAGUGACUGUAAGGAGAGCUUUACCUUCUAAGUAGUUUUUUUUAUGUUAAAUAACUUCUAUUAUCCAAACUGCUGACAGUAUCACUAUUUCAGUUAUUUAAUCUGUGAAUUUUUUCAGGAGCGAUGUAGCCAGUGUAUAAAACUUCAUAGUUAGUUUGCACAAUUUUUGAAAUCCUGCAUGACUUUUCUUUGCAAAACAACCAUUCUAUCCCUUUAUUUUGCAAAAAAUACUUCUUUCUCAUCCACCGGACUACUGAAUGUUUUCUCUUUUCGUACAAAGGAGAGGAGCUGUACGUUUACAAAGAGCUGGGUGGGGUUUUUUUAACAUUAAUCUAGAUUUAAUAUACAUUCCAAAAUGCAUUUUCCCUAUUAAUUAAAAGUAAACCAUGUAUUGUAUGGUACAUUAUCCCUCUAACGGCCCCAUGUGGAGAUUAUGAAGUGGAAAACUAAUGGUGCAGACUUUAGCAUUUGGAUUUUGUCAUUUACAUAUCUGUAAGGGGAUGUCGAUGUAUGUGCAAAUAAGCAGAACUUUAUGUGUCCCGUGCUUUCUCUGCCGCCACCUUUGUCCUCCCCUUCCCCUCCCCAGUUUACAGAGGAAGUCAAAGAAGAAGUGUUGCCUCUCUCCCCUCAGCUAGAGAAGGUAAUGAGAUUCUGUGCACCCUCUAUUACGAGGAGGAUGAGAAAUCUGAUUAUUAAGGAGAGGCAUGUGGCAGUAAGAAAAAUCUGUUUGUUUUUUUCUUAUUGUAUCACCCCAAGAAACAAAGGUGACCCCCAUGUUCCAUUCAUUAAAUCUUGCCUCCUCUAAUUUAUCAAGGUAAACUAUCACAGUUUCUGCUGAGCUAAUCAGAAAUGGGGAAACUUGUUAGGUGUGCCUCAAAAGGACACAUCACAGGAUUUGGAUAUCACUUCACAUACUGAGUAGGGCCUAAUUCAUGCUUCCUAUUGCACAAUAUAUGUUUUAUGGACAUUAGCAUGAGCGCAUUGUGCAUUUUUUUUCCACACAGGAUACCUUAGGACAAUGAGAAUGAAUUAUGACCUCCAUAACAGAACAAGUGUAAUUAUUUCAAGGACACAGAGUUGCUGCAGGUGUGUCUUCUGAUGCAAAUAUCACAGAAAAUAUAAUUUUUUUGCGGUAUAUUGUGAGCCCACACUUAUUGUUAUUUAUGGUAAAAUUUCAAUACCCAGGGACUGCAAAAUUGAAUUUAGCCACGAGAGAGGGAGAGAGAGAGGGAUUCACAACAGAAUCGUUAUUACUGUUAGUGUUAAUAUUCGUCAAAUAUGUCAUUCUCAUGCGCUUAAAGAAUAAUUGUGUUAAUAUGCUACAAAUAAUGUGAACUAUGUUUGUAGAUUAAAAAAAUAUUGUCUGUGGUCCGUGCAUGAGACACGCAUGUAUCAAAACAGUGUGC